UCUGCCAGGUAUUCAUCAGUCUUCAUCAUUGACUUGUCUGUAGUCAGAAGAUAGCUGUGCAGCAUGGACCUCAGUACAUGUGAGUAUGUAUUUGCAUUAAGAUCUAUUUACCCUUACUGUCAAUGGUUGUCUAUAACACACAUGAAAUACUUUAAUUGCCAUUAACGCAUUUUUGUUUUUUUUUGUUUUUGUUUUUAACAGUUUGUCAAUCCUUGGUGGUUCAUUGAAUACAACUGGUGAUCCUAUAGCAUCUAAUGUUAGACCCGGAUAUCUAAGCCUACUUUUGCAUGGUGAUAUACUUGACAAGGCAGAGGGUGAUUGUGCUUCUGAAGCCACGAGACCGGUUCUAUCUGAUGAUAAUCAGGUCAUCAGAGACUCCGACACUUCAGACACCCCGAUCGGUAUAUCCAAUUCGUGUUCGCCAGGCAGAAUGGACUCUGUUGUUGAUGGACAACUGUAGACUUGUUUACAGCACCGCAGACUUGUUUACAGCACUGCAGACUUGUUUACAG
This is a long non-coding RNA of Alosa alosa (allis shad), 512 nucleotides long. RefSeq lists it as uncharacterized. NCBI's taxonomy places the organism in Eukaryota, Metazoa, Chordata, Actinopteri, Clupeiformes, Clupeidae. The transcript is spliced from 3 exons. The record is from RefSeq and is a predicted model, not a curated record.